This 84-nucleotide transfer RNA is filed under the name Actinomycetes bacterium. Its description in RNAcentral is "tRNA-Leu". It matches the Rfam family "tRNA". From Rfam's summary of the family: Transfer RNA (tRNA) molecules are approximately 80 nucleotides in length. Their secondary structure includes four short double-helical elements and three loops (D, anti-codon, and T loops). The record is from RNAcentral. Lineage: Bacteria; Bacillati; Actinomycetota; Actinomycetes. RNAcentral also lists the same sequence under 3 other names.
GCCCGGGUGGCGUAAUAGGUAGACGCGGCGGUCUUAAACACCGCUGUCCUUCGGGGCGUGGGGGUUCAAGUCCCUCCCCGGGCA